This 500-nucleotide ribosomal RNA is filed under the name uncultured bacterium. Its description in RNAcentral is "partial 16S ribosomal RNA". It matches the Rfam family "Bacterial small subunit ribosomal RNA", at positions 30 to 523 of the family's 1533-position model. The record is from RNAcentral.
AUUGAACGCUGGCGGCAGGCCUAACACAUGCAAGUCGAGCGGAUGAGGGUAGCUUGCUAUCUGAUUCAGCGGCGGACGGGUGAGUAAUGCCUAGGAAUCUGCCUGGUAGUGUGGGACAACGUUUCGAAAGGAACGCUAAUACCGCAUACGUCCUACGGGAGAAAGUGGGGGAUCUUCGGACCUCACGCUAUCAGAUGAGCCUAGGUACGAUUAGCUAGUUGGUGAGGUAAAGGCUCACCAAGGCGACGAUCGUUAACUGGUCUGAGAGGAUGAUCAGUCACACUGGAACUGAGACACGGUCCAGACUCCUACGGGAGGCAGCAGUGGGGAAUAUUGGACAAUGGGCGAAAGCCUGAUCCAGCCAUGCCGCGUGUGUGAAGAAGGUCUUCGGAUUGUAAAGCACUUUAAGUUGGGAGGAAGGGCAGUAAGUUAAUACCUUGCUGUUUUGACGUUACCAACAGAAUAAGCACCGGCUAACUUCGUGCCAGCCGCCGCAGUAA